AAGCAGGGGAUCGCAAGACCUUGCGCUUUUGGAGCGGCCGAUGCCUGAUUAGCUAGUUGGUGGGGUAAUGGCCUACCAAGGCGACGAUCAGUAGUUGGUCUGAGAGGACGACCAGCCACACUGGGACUGAGACACGGCCCAGACUCCUACGGGAGGCAGCAGUGGGGAAUUUUGGACAAUGGGCGAAAGCCUGAUCCAGCAAUGCCGCGUGAGUGAAGAAGGCCUUCGGGUUGUAAAGCUCUUUCAGUCGAGAAGAAAAGGUUGUGACUAAUAAUCACAACUCAUGACGGUAUCGACAGAAGAAGCACCGGCUAACUACGUGCCAGCAGCCGCGGUAAUACGUAGGGUGCGAGCGUUAAUCGGAAUUACUGGGCGUAAAGGGUGCGCAGGCGGCUUUGUAAGUCAGAUGUGAAAUCCCCGGGCUUAACCUGGGAACUGCGUUUGAAACUACAAGGCUAGAGU
RNAcentral lists this ribosomal RNA (462 nucleotides) under uncultured ammonia-oxidizing beta proteobacterium. RNAcentral describes it as "bacterial SSU rRNA". It matches the Rfam family "Bacterial small subunit ribosomal RNA", at positions 202 to 647 of the family's 1533-position model. Lineage: Bacteria; Pseudomonadati; Pseudomonadota; Betaproteobacteria. The record is from RNAcentral.